AUGGAUGGUAUGGAGGAGCAGCUCGCAGUUCUGGAGCGCAAGCUGCCGGCCAUAUUGGACGUCAUAACUGACGCGGAGGAGCAGGGGACUCACCGGCCUGGGGUGAGUGCUUGGCUCAAAGCACUCAAGGCUGCUGCGUACAAAGCCAAUGACGUUUUCGAUGAGCUCAAGUAUGAAGCGCUCCGCCGUGAAGCGAAGAGGAAGGGGCAAGACAACAAAUUCAGCACCGAUGCAGUGAUGCUCCGCCCGGCUCACAGCCCUAUGCUGUUUCGUUACAGGAUGGGCAAGAAGCUGCGCAAGAUUGUGCGUACCAUCGAGGUCCUCGUUGCUGAGAUGAAUGCCUUUGGGUUCAAAUACCGACAGGAAAUGCCAGCGUCCAAGCAGUGGCGGCAGACAGAUUCGAUCAUCAUUGACUCUGAGAAUAUUAUCAGCAGAGAGGCAGAGAAGUGGAAGAUUGUUGACAUGUUGCUUGCCCAUUCUACAAACAAGGACCUGUUGGUCCUUCCAAUUGUUGGAAUGGGUGGCUUGGGGAAGACCACUUUUGCACAGAUCAUUUACAAUGAUCCUGAUACCCGAAAGCAUUUCCAGCUCCGGAAGUGGGUGUGUGUUUUGGAUGACUUUGAUGUUACAGACAUUGCUAAUAAGAUCAGUGUGUCGACCGAGAAAGACAGUGAAAGGGCACUGGAGAAGCUUCAGCACGAAAUCAGUGGAAGGAGGUACCUCCUUGUCCUGGAUGAUGUAUGGAAUCGCGAUGCUGAUAAGUGGGCAAAGCUAAAAUACUGUCUUCAACAGUGUGGUGGUUCUGAGAGUGCAAUAUUGAUGACAACUCGCGAUGACAGAGUUGCUCAAAUCAUGGGAACAGCUCAGGCCCAUCAAUUGGUAAAGAUGGACAAAAAAGAUUUGCUUGCAAUAUUUGAGAAAAGAUUUGCUUGCAAUAUUUGCUCAAAUCAAGAAUGUGUUACUAUAGAGGAGAGGCUGAACUAUAUGGAGAUUUUGCCAUACACUGUUCGCCAUUUGUUCUUGUCAUCCCAUGGUCCUGGAUCCUUCCUGAGUGCUACACUGAAGGAAACAUGUUCAGGUAUCCAGACCAUGUUGGGCAGUAUUGAUGCUAGUAAUUCGGUACGACAUUUAUCGAAGUGCACUUGUCUUCGAGCACUGCAGCUCUGUCACUACAGGUCGAGUGGGCUUCCAUUUGUACCAAAGCACCCGAAGCACCUCAGGUAUCUCGACCUCUCCGGCAAUUGUCAUAUCAAAGCACUUCCUGAAGAAAUCUGCAUCAUGUAUAACCUACGGACGUUGAACCUUUCUGGAUGUGAACGUCUUAGUGGACUUCCAAAGGAUAUGAAGUACAUGACUGGCCUUCGGCACCUAUAUACUGAUGGGUGUCUGUCCUUAAAGCGCAUGCCUCCAAAUCUUGGAUGGUUAACUUCCCUACAGACGCUGACAUAUUUUGUUGUAGGCUGUAGCUCUGGCUGUAGUAGCAUUGGAGAACUGAGGCACAUGAACCUUCGAGGUCAGCUAGCGCUAUGCCAUCUAGAAAAUGUAACAGAAGCAGAUAUAACAACGGGUAACCAUGGGGGUAAAAAGGACCUCACUCAGCUAUCUUUUGCAUGGAAGAAUGAUUGCAGUGAGGUCGAUUUUCAUGAAAAGGUGCUGGAUGCUUUUACUCCUAACCGUGGUCUUCAGAUUUUACUGGUGGAUUCCUAUAGAAGCAUUAGGUUUCCAACUUGGAUGGCGAACCUGAGUGUGAUGCAAGACCUAGUCAAGUUGAGCCUAGUCAGUUGCACAGUGUGCGACAGACUUCCCCAGCUGUGGCAAUUACCAGCUCUUCAAGUUCUUCAUUUGGAGAGCAUGGACAGAUUGCACUGCCUAUGCAUCGGUGAUGGAGGCACUUUCACAUCCUCAACAUUCCCAAAAUUGAGGGAGCUUGUGUUACUUGAUUUGAAGAUUUUGAAUGGAUGGUGGGAAGUAAAAGGAAGACAUGGACACCAAUUGCUGUUUCCCCUUCUGGAGGAACUAUCAAUUGGGAGUUGCAAUAAGUUGACAAACUUACCAGAACCACCAAUGCUUGGAGAAUCUUCUAGCUGCGGUGGUAACAAGGGACACUCAGCAUUUCCAGCAUUAAAGAAACUCAUGUUACAUGGUUUGAAGAGUUUGAGCAGAUGGGGAAAAAAAGAAGAAAGAUAUGGCGAACAACCAACAUUUCCACUGCUUGAGAAUGCCGAUAUUAUAGAUUGUCCAGAGCUAUCAACUCUAGAAGCACCAAGGCUUCGAGUAUUAGUGUUUCCAGAAGAUAGGCCAUUGAUUUGGUUAUCCAUGGCCAGAUAUAUGACUGCAUUUUCCAGUGCAAGAUUGAAAAUCACACCAUAUUCUCCCUCGCACGUGCAAUGUUCAGUUCAACAGGUAGAUGGUAAGGGGAAAUGGAACCAUAGAUCUUCUCAUGCAGCUAUGGAGCUAUGUGGAAGCUAUUUAUUCCACACAAGCUGGAAAUAUUUUGUAAACCUUAGCUAUCUGGAAAUCAUUUCUUGUGACGAGCUUACCUACUGGCCAUUAAAAGAGCUUCAAUGCUUGGUAUCCUUGAACAGAUUAAUAAUUCAUUGUUGCAACAAUCUUACUGGAUCUGCAAAGAUUCUUGAAGAAGUAGUAUACGAAGGAAAUCAGCUCCUACCAUGUCUUGAAUCUUUGGAAAUAAAAAGUUGUCCAAACUUGGUCGAGAUUUUCAGCCUUCCUUCAUCACUGAAGGAAAUAUAUAUUGAGAGAUGCAGUAAGCUUGAGUUCAUAUGGGGUAAGCAGAGUACUGAAAAGAAUUGUUAUGUUGAAUACCCGGAUGACUUGACAUUAUCAGACUCCUUUAGUGGCCUUAGUGCCUCUGCAAUUGAACGAGAUCCCUCUUCUCUGGCAAGAAAUCAUUAUCUACCAUGCCUCGAGUCUUUAACACUAAUAAGUUGUCAAAGUUUGGUAGAGCUUCUCGAUUUUCCCUUGUAUCUCAAGGAAGUACACAUUUGGAGUUGCCCUAAGCUUGAGUUUAUAUGGGGAAAGCUGGAUAAACAAAUAAGGAGCCAGUAUUUUGAACAGCAGAACAACCUGGAGCUGUCAGAAUCUUGCAGUAAAUUUACUGCAUUCACAACUGUACCAGGUUCAUUGCCAUCAACAGUGAAUCAUCCCCUACCAUGUUUAGAAUAUCUUUGGAUAGCAUAUUGUGAAGGAUUGCUAGAAAUUAUUGAUCUCCCAUCAUCUGUGAGGACAAUAAUUAUCACGGACUGCCCUAAACUUGAAGUCCUGUCAGGGCAACUUCAUAAACUUGGCCAUCUUGAUAUUCGAUUCUGUGAUCAGUUGAGGCUAGUAGAGUCAUGUCAGGGAGACUUCUCAUCACUGGAGACCGUCUAUAUUGAUGGCUGCGAGAGUUUAAAGUGCUUACCCGAUAAGCGUUCACAUACAUAG
RNAcentral lists this ribosomal RNA (3441 nucleotides) under Triticum aestivum (bread wheat). RNAcentral's name for it is "partial small subunit ribosomal RNA". Lineage: Eukaryota; Viridiplantae; Streptophyta; Magnoliopsida; Poales; Poaceae. The record is from RNAcentral.